This is a long non-coding RNA of Lathyrus oleraceus (garden pea), 873 nucleotides long. RefSeq lists it as uncharacterized. Lineage: Eukaryota; Viridiplantae; Streptophyta; Magnoliopsida; Fabales; Fabaceae. The record is from RefSeq and is a predicted model, not a curated record. The transcript has 2 exons.
AAAGAAGAAUGAAAACAAGGAAAUGAGAACAAACCAGUAACGUGAAAACGCUUCUUCCUGAAAAUCACAUUUUCAAAAUCUCUUUUCCUUACUUACUCGCCUUCAUCAUCUUCACGUACUCAAUGUUAAUGGCAUUUCUGAAAGGCGGGCAUUUGUGUGACUAACGAUGCUUGAUUGAUGCUCUGUUUGCGGUUUGUGAAUUGAUUAACGUAUUUGACGUUCGAUAACUUGCACACCAAGUGUUCGGUAGAAUGCUUGAACUUAAUUCAUUCACGUUUUUGCCUAGCAAUCUCUUGGUUUCAGAUGAUGAUCAUGGAGAUAUUAGUGGUUAUGAAGUUUUUUUUUGAGUUGAAGAUUAUGGAAGAUAUGAUGGUUAAGGAAGUUUGGAAAAGAAGAGGUAUAAGGUGGAUUCUUGGAGAUGAAUGCUUUAUGGUGAAUUGUUGAUUAAGGAGAAAAUGAAGAUUGGAAAAGAAGAUGAAUAAUGGUAAAAGGGAUAGAAAUGGUGGAGAUUAAUAUGGUGAAGGAUGAAGAACUUUGGAUUAUGGAAGAAUGAAGAAGAUUGGUGAAGUGUGGAGUUUGUUAUGAGAUAAAAUUGGGAUUUUGGUGUUUUUCUGUAAAAAAUAAUGUUUAACCCCCAUGAUGAGAAUGAUGAAGUUUUUGUAAUGAUGAAAAUGUAGGAAAAGUUAGUUAGGCUUACUUGAAUUAGAACUCUGGGAUACUGAUCCUUGUCAUGGGUUUAAGAGUGGCCAAGAUUGAAUCACGUUAGUUUGGAGGGAUUAAGAUAGUUAUGGAUAGUUAAGAUAGUUAGAAAUGAAAUGCUAAUGAAAUUUAAAUUGUGUUUGUUUGAAAUGAAAAUGAAUUUCAUUUGGUUUA